This 460-nucleotide ribosomal RNA is filed under the name uncultured Capnocytophaga sp. RNAcentral describes it as "bacterial SSU rRNA". It matches the Rfam family "Bacterial small subunit ribosomal RNA", at positions 338 to 795 of the family's 1533-position model. Lineage: Bacteria; Pseudomonadati; Bacteroidota; Flavobacteriia; Flavobacteriales; Flavobacteriaceae. The record is from RNAcentral.
CCUACGGGUGGCAGCAGUGAGGAAUAUUGGACAAUGGUCGGAAGACUGAUCCAGCCAUGCCGCGUGCAGGAUGAAGGUCUUAUGGAUUGUAAACUGCUUUUGCAGGGGAAGAAUAAGGACUACGCGUAGUUUGAUGACGGUACUCUGUGAAUAAGCAUCGGCUAACUCCGUGCCAGCAGCCGCGGUAAUACGGAGGAUGCGAGCGUUAUCCGGAAUCAUUGGGUUUAAAGGGUCUGUAGGCGGGCUGGUAAGUCAGAGGUGAAAGCGCUUAGCUCAACUAAGCAACUGCCUUUGAAACUGCUGGUCUUGAAUGGUUGUGAAGUAGUUGGAAUGUGUAGUGUAGCGGUGAAAUGCUUAGAUAUUACACAGAACACCGAUAGCGAAGGCAUAUUACUAACAAUUAAUUGACGCUGAUGGACGAAAGCGUGGGGAGCGAACAGGAUUAGAUACCCUUGUAGUC